RNAcentral lists this ribosomal RNA (515 nucleotides) under uncultured bacterium. Its description in RNAcentral is "bacterial SSU rRNA". It matches the Rfam family "Bacterial small subunit ribosomal RNA", at positions 954 to 1467 of the family's 1533-position model. The record is from RNAcentral.
AAGCAACGCGAAGAACCUUACCAGGACUUGACAUCCUUUGACCACCCUAGAGAUAGGGCCUUCCCCUUCGGGGGACAAAGUGACAGGUGGUGCAUGGUUGUCGUCAGCUCGUGUCGUGAGAUGUUGGGUUAAGUCCCGCAACGAGCGCAACCCUUAAUCUUAGUUGCCAGCAUUUAGUUGGGCACUCUAAGGUGACUGCCGGUGACAAACCGGAGGAAGGUGGGGAUGACGUCAAAUCAUCAUGCCCCUUAUGUCCUGGGCUACACACGUGCUACAAUGGACAGUACAAAGGGCAGCGAAGCCGCGAGGUGGAGCCAAUCCCAUAAAGCUGUUCUCAGUUCGGAUUGCAGGCUGCAACUCGCCUGCAUGAAGCCGGAAUUGCUAGUAAUCGCGGAUCAGCAUGCCGCGGUGAAUACGUUCCCGGGUCUUGUACACACCGCCCGUCACACCACGAGAGUUUGUAGCACCCGAAGUCGGUGAGGUAACCUUUUUGGAGCCAGCCGCCUAAGGUGGGA